Molecule: ribosomal RNA, 253 nt
Filed under: uncultured bacterium
Lineage: Bacteria
Description: partial 16S ribosomal RNA
Rfam family: Bacterial small subunit ribosomal RNA
Source: RNAcentral
UACGUAGGGGGCGAGCGUUGUCCGAAGUUACUGGGCGUAAAGCGCGCGUAGGCGGUCUGUCACGUCGGCUGUGAAAUCCCGAGGCUCAACCUCGGGUCUGCAGUCGAUACGGGCAAACUAGAGUAUUGCAGGGGAGACUGGAAUUCCUGGUGUAGCGGUGAAAUGCGCAGAUAUCAGGAGGAACACCGGUGGCGAAGGCGGGUCUCUGGGCAAUAACUGACGCUGAGGAGCGAAAGCGUGGGGAGCGAACAGG